Molecule: ribosomal RNA, 397 nt
Filed under: uncultured bacterium
Lineage: Bacteria
Description: partial 16S ribosomal RNA
Rfam family: Bacterial small subunit ribosomal RNA
Source: RNAcentral
AUACGUAGGUGACAAGCGUUAUCCGGAUUUACUGGGCGUAAAGGGCGUGUAGGCGGUCUUGUAAGUCAGAAGUGAAAUUCCUGAGCUCAACUCGGGCGCUGCUUCUGAAACUGCAGGACUUGAGUGCUGGAGGGGAUAGCGGAAUUCCUAGUGGAGCGGUAAAAUGCGCAGAUAUUAGGAAGAACACCGGUGGCGAAGGCGGCUAUCUGGACAGUAACUGACGCUGAGGCGCGAAAGCGUGGGGAGCAAACAGGAUUAGAUACCCUGGUAGUCCACACUGUAAACGAUGAAUGCUAGGUGUAGGGGGUAUCGACCCCUUCUGUGCCGCAGUCAACACAAUAAGCAUUCCGCCUGAGGAGUACGGCCGCAAGGUUGAAACUCAAAUGAAUUGGCGGGG